Molecule: small nucleolar RNA, 130 nt
Filed under: Sphenodon punctatus (tuatara)
Lineage: Eukaryota; Metazoa; Chordata; Lepidosauria; Sphenodontia; Sphenodontidae
Description: Small nucleolar RNA SNORA13 (ENSSPUG00000015708.1)
Rfam family: Small nucleolar RNA SNORA13
About the family: ACA13 is a member of the H/ACA class of snoRNA that guide the sites of modification of uridines to pseudouridines.
Source: Rfam by way of RNAcentral
UGCCUUUGUGUUGCCCAUUUAUUAACUUCACUAAUGAAUGUGGUGUCAGAAAAGGCAUACAAGAACUCUUGCUGCCAUGGGUUCAGGAGCUGGUUAUGUACCUUUUUCCUCCAUUUCUGCAAGGACAAUU